Molecule: ribosomal RNA, 253 nt
Filed under: uncultured bacterium
Lineage: Bacteria
Description: partial 16S ribosomal RNA
Rfam family: Bacterial small subunit ribosomal RNA
Source: RNAcentral
UACGUAGGGUGCGAGCGUUGUCCGGAAUUAUUGGGCGUAAAGGGCUCGUAGGCGGUUUGUCGCGUCGGGUGUGAAAUCCAUUGGCUUAACUGGUGGCUUGCUUUCGAUACGGGCAGACUGGAGGUAUGCAGGGGAGAACGGAAUUCCUGGUGUAGCGGUGAAAUGCGUAGAUAUCUGGAGGAACACCGGUGGCGAAGGCGGCAUUCUGGACCAAUAUUGACGCUGAGAAGCGAAAGCCAGGGGAGCAAACGGG